Neurospora tetraspora is the source of this 118-nucleotide non-coding RNA. The record is from the annotation of a RefSeq genome assembly. Lineage: Eukaryota; Fungi; Ascomycota; Sordariomycetes; Sordariales; Sordariaceae.
GGCUCAAUGGCCGAGUGGUGUAACGGAAGCACACUGCAAACUUCAGGCGCCAACCCUUGGCCGGGUGGCAGUGACAACCUGAAGUGCAAGGUCCCAGGUUCAAUUCCGGGUAGAGUCA